UACGGAGGGCGCGAACGUUAAUCGGAAUUACUGGGCGUAAAGCGCGCGUAGGCGGUUCGGCAAGUGGGAUGUGAAAGCCCCGGGCUUAACCUGGGAAUUGCGUUCCAAACUACCGGGCUAGAGUAUGGUAGAGGGAGGUAGAAUUUCCUGUGUAGCGGUGAAAUGCGUAGAUAUAGGAAGGAAUACCGGUGGCGAAGGCGGCCUCCUGGACCAAUACUGACGCUGAGGUGCGAAAGCGUGGGGAGCAAACAGG
Molecule: ribosomal RNA, 253 nt
Filed under: uncultured bacterium
Lineage: Bacteria
Description: partial 16S ribosomal RNA
Rfam family: Bacterial small subunit ribosomal RNA
Source: RNAcentral